This 142-nucleotide small nucleolar RNA is filed under the name Merops nubicus (carmine bee-eater). RNAcentral's name for it is "Small nucleolar RNA SNORD94". It matches the Rfam family "Small nucleolar RNA SNORD94". From Rfam's summary of the family: The members of this family belong to the C/D class of snoRNAs which contain the C (UGAUGA) and D (CUGA) box motifs. Most of the members of the box C/D family function in directing site-specific 2'-O-methylation of substrate RNAs. The record is from Rfam by way of RNAcentral. Lineage: Eukaryota; Metazoa; Chordata; Aves; Coraciiformes; Meropidae.
AUGGCGGUGAUGAUUGGCGCAGGGGUACGGACCUCAGCUGCGUGAUGGGAGCUGAGUGCGGGCUGGUCGUGCCGGUGCAGCUGGCGUGGGGCUGGCUCACUGGCAGCAGCCCUGCACGAGACUUCGCCAGAGACUGAGCCAU